Molecule: ribosomal RNA, 253 nt
Filed under: uncultured bacterium
Lineage: Bacteria
Description: partial 16S ribosomal RNA
Rfam family: Bacterial small subunit ribosomal RNA
Source: RNAcentral
UACGAAGGGGGCUAGCGUUGUUCGGAAUUACUGGGCGUAAAGCGCGCGCAGGCGGUCCUUUAAGUCGGGGGUGAAAGCCCAGAGCUCAACUCUGGAACUGCCUUCGAAACUAGAGGACUUGGGUACGGGAGAGGUGAGUGGAAUUCCGAGUGUAGAGGUGAAAUUCGUAGAUAUUGGGAAGAACACUGAUGGCGAAGGCAGCCAUCUGGACCGACACUGACGCUGAGGCGCGAAAGCGUGGGGAGCAAACAGG